AUUGAACGCUGGCGGCAGGCCUAACACAUGCAAGUCGAGCGGAUGAAGGGAGCUUGCUCCUGGAUUCUGCGGCGGACGGGUGAGUAAUGCCUAGGAAUCUGCCUGGUAGUGGGGGAUAACGUCCGGAAACGGGCGCUAAUACCGCAUACGUCCUGAGGGAGAAAGUGGGGGAUCUUCGGACCUCACGCUAUCAGAUGAGCCUAGGUCGGAUUAGCUAGUUGGUGGGGUAAAGGCCUACCAAGGCGACGAUCCGUAACUGGUCUGAGAGGAUGAUCAGUCACACUGGAACUGAGACACGGUCCAGACUCCUACGGGAGGCAGCAGUGGGGAAUAUUGGACAAUGGGCGAAAGCCUGAUCCAGCCAUGCCGCGUGUGUGAAGAAGGUCUUCGGAUUGUAAAGCACUUUAAGUUGGGAGGAAGGGCAGUAAGUUAAUACCUUGCUGUUUUGACGUUACCAACAGAAUAAGCACCGGCUAGCUUCGUG
RNAcentral lists this ribosomal RNA (484 nucleotides) under uncultured bacterium. Its description in RNAcentral is "partial 16S ribosomal RNA". It matches the Rfam family "Bacterial small subunit ribosomal RNA", at positions 30 to 507 of the family's 1533-position model. The record is from RNAcentral.